UACGGAGGGUGCGAGCGUUGUCCGGAAUCACUGGGCGUAAAGGGCGCGUAGGCGGCGCGGGUAGUCAACGGUGAAAGCUUGGGGCUCAACCCCGAGUCGGCCGUCGAUACUCCCGUGCUUGAGCACUGUAGAGGCAGGUGGAAUUCCGGGUGUAGCGGUGGAAUGCGUAGAGAUCCGGAAGAACACCGGUGGCGAAGGCGGCCUGCUGGGCAGUAGCUGACGCUGAGGCGCGACAGCGUGGGGAUCAAACAGG
RNAcentral lists this ribosomal RNA (253 nucleotides) under uncultured bacterium. Its description in RNAcentral is "partial 16S ribosomal RNA". It matches the Rfam family "Bacterial small subunit ribosomal RNA", at positions 524 to 776 of the family's 1533-position model. The record is from RNAcentral.